Long non-coding RNA from Cavia porcellus (domestic guinea pig), 3374 nucleotides. RefSeq lists it as uncharacterized. NCBI's taxonomy places the organism in Eukaryota, Metazoa, Chordata, Mammalia, Rodentia, Caviidae. The transcript is spliced from 3 exons. The record is from RefSeq and is a predicted model, not a curated record.
GCCACCAUGAACUUCGGCCCAGCCAUGCCCACCUGCCUGGAAGCAAACUGAGUAUGGACUGAAACCUCCAAAAACUGUAAGAAAUAAACCUUUCCUUUCCCCAGUUUGGGCUUCAGGUAUUUUGUCUCAGCAACAAGCAUAAAGUAACUAAGACAGAAUUUGGUACCUAGGAGUGGGGUCAUUUGCUGUGACUAUAUCUGGCCAUGUUUUUCAAGAGGCUUUGGAAAUGGCUUGUGGGCAGAGUUUGGAAAGGUUCGGACAUGUUGCCUGUAUGCAUAGAGCUGGAGCACCUUAGGCUGUUCUGUAGAGGAAAUUCUGGUCAGAGCUCAGGCGACCAGAAGGCUGAUAGAAAGCCGGAUGGUAAAGACCAGGCUUGGGAGGUUUCUGCUGGGAAAGACUGCAUUGGUCGUUGGACUCCACAUGAUGUGUGUUAUGGCUUGGCAGAAAGUUUGCCUGCAUUUUGCUCCUGCCCAGAGACUUUGCCUGAGACUGAGACAAAGGGCAAUGGACUGAUUAAUCUUGAAAAAGAAAUUAAAAAGCUAUCGAAUGUUGAGGCUGUGGCAUGGCUAUUGUUGGCUUUUAGUGAGCUUUAUGUUUCAAAUCAAGAGCAAAGAGCCCGGCAGGAUAAUGUACAAUGCUGUGAGUUUGGCCAGAAGGAAAAUUCCAAGGAAAGCUGCAAAAAACGAGCAGAGAAGAUUUUUUAAAAAAGCUUAGGGAGUUGAAAUGGCUGGAAGUGCCCUGGGGGUAGAAUCACCCAAGUCUUUUAGAGCUUACAACCAGAUUGCUUCAGAUGCUGAGCGUGAAACUCUAGGACUUAAUGUUUGUCCUGCUGGAUGUUGGACUUGCUUUGUUUCCAAUGCUUUAUAUUCCCCCGUUUGUAACUUUUGGAAUGGUAAUGUUUAUCUUGUGCCUUUGUGUUUCAGAAAUGUUUAACUUUGUUUCGUUUGUACAGGGACUUACAGUUAAGAAUUUACCAUAGAUCUUGGUGGAGACUUGGGACUUGGACUGUUUAGCAAUGCUGAAACUUAGGACUUUGGCAACUCUUGGAGGUGGACUAAAUGUCUUUUGUAUAAAAGAUGUACAUGAGUCCUGGGGGCCAGGGGUGGAAUGUCAUGGUUUAUGUCUGUGUCCCCCAAGCCUCAUAAGUUUAAAUUGUGCAUUUGUUAUUCAUUCAUUGUCUAGUGCUUGGAUUGAUGGUGUCAGUGCUCCAUUCACAAAGGGGUGGAGCCAGGAUGUGAUGUAAUGGCAGGAAGAAGGUGUGUUUUGCUCUUUUUGCUGGUUCCUCUUUGCUGUUCGCAGCCACCAUGAACUUCGGCCCAGCCAUGCCCGCCUGCCUGGGAACAAACUGAGUGUGGACUGAAACCUCCAAAACUCUUCCUGAAUCCUGCCUGUAUGGGUUUUUCUGGAGACUUCAUCAUCAAGUAGCUGUGCUUGGAGCAUGGACAACCAUGUUAAAAUGUGACUGGCAAAAAGGGUCUGAACCAGUGGGAACAGAUGGUGAGGAAAGCCAACAAGGCUUGUCUGUGUCAGCAUCCUGGAUGCAACGUUCCUCUAUCCAUGUGCGAGCAGGAUCCCUCUGGAAUGUGGAGAGGCCAGAGAACUUCUUGAGUAGCUCGAAGAGGACAGAUGUGCCACUCCGAGAUAAUGUCAGUCUGUAGGAUGGGAGUAAUUUGAGAAACACCAGGAACUCCCGAGAUUGUCAGAGCUAAGUGGACAGCAAUACGGUUUCCAGACUCGGGUCAACAAGUUUGAUGGCUCUGCAGGUUUCUUUGUUUCUCCCCCACUCCCCUUUUCCUCCAGUCUCUUUUUAAAGUCCUCCCUUCAGUCUCUGGGACACAGUCUCCAAAUUGGCUCCCGGAGACUGGUCGCCUGGCCUGGAAAUAAAGCCUUUGCCACCUAAAUUUUUGGUCUCUUGCCUCCUUGGAUUUUAUACUGGGGCCCAAGUUAUAACAAUAACCAUCUCUCCCAGACAGAAAGGCAGAUGGGGUGAGGUUAUUUUAAUUCUAGAUUUCAUGGUUGGCUUUGGAGAAAAUGGGUUCUGUGAUCUGUCCUGUGACUUGCUUCAGGGAGGAAGGAGAGUUGAGACUCUGGAGGGCAGCAGAUUGUGUAGUCACUUCUGAGGCCUGCCAGUGUCCUUAAUUUCACCAAGGACAAUGCCGCAGGUUAUAAUGUUCCUCCACUUGAAGCCAGCCAGUCUCCACCCUGAAGGAAGCAGCAGUUGCCUGGACUUUAGACCUGAGGUGGAAACCAGAGCUGUGUGAACAGGGCAGGCAGAAGCUAGAGAACAGAAGGUCAGACAACUGGGUGGCAGCCAAUGAAAAGCCAGAGUCUGGGUGUCGGCUGUUGCAGAGUUCUCAAAAGGUUGCAUUUGGCCUAAGUUCUAGAGUCCAGAUCUCAAGUCAGCAAACUUGUAAAGAUGGCUUAAGCAGUAUUUCCAGUAUUGAUACAUUCAUGCAAAAAGGGACACAGACACAAAGUCAGAUAGCUAAUCAGGAAGUGACACAGCCAAGGGGUCCCUGACAGGGGUCUUUUCAGUCAGACUUUGUGAUACACAUUUCUCAGCUGUGAGGGAUCUUGAGGGAUCACUAGGAUUGAUGCUACAGGAUGUGCCAAGAACAACAUCUUGCUUUUGCUUGGCCUGGGACUGGAAUUUUUGUUCUCCAUGAUCCCCUUAGCCAAACUCUGUACAGAGUCCUUUUUUGCUUUUGUAAAUUCCUUUGCAGCACAGCUGUAUAACAUCUAGAUGAUUUGUCUGUUUUGCAAAAAACAGGACAUUGAUCUUCAUUUACAGGUUUCUUUUUAAAGAGUAGUUUGCCUGUUGAGUCAGUUUCCUUCCCCAUGGGUACAUUUCUGAUGGUCUUAAAUAAAUGCCUCCUAACAUAUGCUUUUGAGUAUUAAAGGAAACAAAGGAUGUGGAAGUCUGUUGUGAGUGGUACAUUGCUUCACCAAUGUUACUUAUCUACCUCUUUCCCAUCAUGGGGUGGGCAUGCCACUCAUGCUAUGGAAACAGGAACCAAUCAAACAUUUUCAGGCAAGCAUCUGGAUUUGAUUGCUCAGGAAAUUAACCAGGUCAUCAACUAUGUAAUUUAUAGGGGCUGGUGUAAAAAGUAUUAAGAAUUUCUGGAUGGCAGCAGCAGCACACAGAGCUAAGCGAGGCAUUGCGAGCUGCCCACCUGGUGCACAUCGAGCUGCAGCUGUGUCCAUAUAUUUAGAGCAAUGAGAGGCUUGUGAGAUGUCUUCGGGUGCUGCACUAUCUCCUCACUCCCAAACCAGCUAAGAAACACACAGUGGGAGUUUUCAGAAGAGCUCCUUGAGAUCUAUAAAACACGUGCUUGAUUUAGAAAAGCAAGAAUUUCUUUUCAAACACAAAAAGC